UACGUAGGGUGCGAGCGUUGUCCGGAAUUACUGGGCGUAAAGAGCUCGUAGGUGGUUUGUCGCGUUGUUCGUGAAAACCGGGGGCUUAACCCUCGGCGUGCGGGCGAUACGGGCAGACUUGAGUACUGCAGGGGAGACUGGAAUUCCUGGUGUAGCGGUGGAAUGCGUAGAGAUCCCCAAGAACACCCGUUGCGAAGGCGGCUGACUGGACACAUAUUGACGCUGAGGCUCGAAAGCAUGGGGAGCAAACAGG
RNAcentral lists this ribosomal RNA (253 nucleotides) under uncultured bacterium. RNAcentral describes it as "partial 16S ribosomal RNA". It matches the Rfam family "Bacterial small subunit ribosomal RNA", at positions 524 to 776 of the family's 1533-position model. The record is from RNAcentral.